RNAcentral lists this ribosomal RNA (254 nucleotides) under uncultured bacterium. RNAcentral's name for it is "partial 16S ribosomal RNA". It matches the Rfam family "Bacterial small subunit ribosomal RNA", at positions 524 to 776 of the family's 1533-position model. The record is from RNAcentral.
GACGUAGGGCGCGAGCGUUGUCCGGAUUUAUUGGGCGUAAAGAGCUCGUAGGCGGUCUGUCGCGUCUGCUGUGAAAACUCAGGGCUUAACCCUGAGCUUGCAGUGGGUACGGGCAGACUAGAGUGCGGUAGGGGAGACUGGAAUUCCUGGUGUAGCGGUGAAAUGCGCAGAUAUCAGGAGGAACACCGGUGGCGAAGGCGGGUCUCUGGGCCGAUACUGACGCUGGAGGAGCGAAAGCGUGGGGAGCGAACAGG